RNAcentral lists this ribosomal RNA (673 nucleotides) under Enterobacteriaceae bacterium EKM401F. Its description in RNAcentral is "bacterial SSU rRNA". It matches the Rfam family "Bacterial small subunit ribosomal RNA", at positions 828 to 1501 of the family's 1533-position model. Lineage: Bacteria; Pseudomonadati; Pseudomonadota; Gammaproteobacteria; Enterobacterales; Enterobacteriaceae. The record is from RNAcentral.
GCCCUUGAGGCGUGGCUUCCGGAGCUAACGCGUUAAGUCGACCGCCUGGGGAGUACGGCCGCAAGGUUAAAACUCAAAUGAAUUGACGGGGGCCCGCACAAGCGGUGGAGCAUGUGGUUUAAUUCGAUGCAACGCGAARAACCUUACCUGGUCUUGACAUCCACAGAACUUGGCAGAGAUGCCUUGGUGCCUUCGGGAACUGUGAGACAGGUGCUGCAUGGCUGUCGUCAGCUCGUGUUGUGAAAUGUUGGGUUAAGUCCCGCAACGAGCGCAACCCUUAUCCUUUGUUGCCAGCGGUCAGGCCGGGAACUCAAAGGAGACUGCCAGUGAUAAACUGGAGGAAGGUGGGGAUGACGUCAAGUCAUCAUGGCCCUUACGACCAGGGCUACACACGUGCUACAAUGGCGCAUACAAAGAGAAGCAAUCUCGCGAGAGCCAGCGGACCUCAUAAAGUGCGUCGUAGUCCGGAUUGGAGUCUGCAACUCGACUCCAUGAAGUCGGAAUCGCUAGUAAUCGUGAAUCAGAAUGUCACGGUGAAUACGUUCCCGGGCCUUGUACACACCGCCCGUCACACCAUGGGAGUGGGUUGCAAAAGAAGUAGGUAGCUUAACCUUCGGGAGGGCGCUUACCACUUUGUGAUUCAUGACUGGGGUGAAGUCGUAACAAGGUAACA